GUCAUUGUAUUUCAGACAUACACAAAUAAAAGUCAUGUGCCCAUUGAGGCAAAAUAUAUCUUUCCUUUGGAUGACAAGGCCGCUGUGUGUUGCUUUGAAGGUCAUCAGUGGGAAGUACAUAGUUGGAGAGAUUAAAGAGAAGGAAGAAGCCCAGUCAGAGUACCGAGGAGCAGUGACCCAGGGCCAUGGCGCUUACCUGAUGAGUCAGGAUGCUCCAUUCUACAGCAAAUCGUCACAUCCUAAGGAUUUUUUCCCAGUGUAGUGCCGGAGUAUUUGAAUAUUUUAAUGCAAAAUCCAAACAUAGUUGGAGAAAAGAGAUAAAGACCAAAUGACCAGGUUAUGUUCUCCGAAUUGCCACUCUGUCUCCGUCAAAUGGUAGCAACUCAACACAGAUGUGCCCGCGGCCCUGCAGGCCCCAGCCCAGGUGCCGUCGUUGUUUCACAAUGAUUGACUCCUUGUCUAUGGAUUCAUUCCUCACUGCACACAGGCAACUCUGUGUGCACUAAUUUGAGAAAGAAUUUUUGUACAAUAGUGUCGACUAUUGAGCUUCAGAAGACAACUGGAACUAUGAUUGACAAGCUGGCAACCCGAGCUCUAAUCAGAGAUUACAAAGAUGGCAUUCUUCAUGAAAAUGAAACCAGUCGUGAGGAUGAAGAAACAAACCUUGAAAUCUCUGAUUAUUAAACCCAGUAAAGAAAACUCUCUCAUAAUACAAUUUACAAGCUUUGUGGCAGUUGAGAAAAGGGAUGAGAAUGAGUCACCUUUUCCUGAUAUUCCAAAAGUUUCUGAACUUAUUACCAAAGAAGAUGUAGACUUCCUGCCCUACAUGAGCUGGCAGGGGGAGCACCAAGGAGCCAUCAGGAACCAACCUCUUUUAGUGUCCUCUGAGUGGCAAGAAUUACCUUCAUCCAAACCAAAACUUAGGGCUAAAAGAAAAAUGAAAUUAUCUAAGACAGAAAUUUCUGAAGAUUUUGAAGAGGAUGGCUUAGGUGUACUACCAGCUUUCACAUCAACUUUGGAACGUGGAGGUGUGGAAAAGCUAUUGGAUUUAAAUUGGACAGAGUCAUGUAAACCAACAGCAACUGAACCACUAUAUAAGAAAGUUAGCCUGACCGGAAACAUCUACUUCUAACUUUUUUUGUGUUUCUGCUCCAGCCUUUGGUUCCUCUCUUCCCCCGGCUGCCCGCUCUCACAGUCCUGCUUCCUUGCCUUUUGCCUCAUAUUGUCAGAUAGCUAGUUUUGGUUUUGCUGCUCCUCCCAGACAGUUUGAUGCAUCUCAAUUCAGCCAAGGCCCUGUGCCUGGCAGUUGUGCUGACUGUAUCCCACAGUUGGCGUCUUGUCCCACAGGACCUCCCCAGAACCCCUCUUCUGCACCCUACUGUGGCAUUGCUCUUUCAGGGAGCUCAUUGAGCUCCACACAGUCUGCUCCACUGCAACCUGUUGGAGGCCGUACGACCAGGCCUUCUACUGGCACCUACCCUGAGCUGGAUUCUCCCCAGCUUCAUUUCUCUCUUCCUACAGACCCUGAUCCCAUCAGAGGUUUUGGGUCUUAUCAUCCCUCUGCUUCCUCUCCUUUUCAUUUUCAGCUUUCCGCAGCCCCUUUGACUGCCAAUAACCUCUGCCUUACCUGAGCCUCUUUACAGUCAGUCCUGGACUACCCCAGUAGAUCUCUGUCUUCUGGACGAAUCAGUAGGCAGUCUUGAAGGAAGUCAAUGUCCUGACUAUGGUUUUCAAAGUUGUUCUGAAACAGAAAGUCAUGAGCUAUGAGAAGUACUGCUUUUUACAAAUAAAAUGUGAUACAACAGACAACAGUAUCCCGUGCUUUCUGGAGGUAAUAGAGGAGGAUGAAACAGUGUGCACACAGCACUGGCAGGAUGCUGUGCCUUGGACUGCACUCUUCAGUCUACAGAGAGAGAUGGCUUCUGAAAACUUACACCAGAACUGCAAUUUAUAUUAAAUCUUAAUACAAAUGCUUUGCACAGCUUAAACAAAAAGGCAUUGAAAUUGUAGGUAUAAAAAGAAGAGAACAUCUCCUGGACCUAAUUGCCACAAAGCAAUAUUACAGUUUAUUUGCACCAGGUUGGAAAAAAAGGGAAUAGUGUUCAAAUCACUGAUGGAACUGGAAUAUGCUUCUAUUUCCAGAAUAUUCCCUGGGCUUUUGAAGCAAUAAAGAAAGCAAGUGAAUGGGUAAGAAGAACUGAAGGACAGUACCCAUCUAUCUGCCCAUGGCUUGAACUGGGGAAUGACUGGGACUCGGCCACCAAGCAGUUACAGGGACUCCAGCCCAUAAACACUGUGUCCCCUCUUCAUAGAGUCCUUCAUUACAGUCAAGGCUAA
Molecule: long non-coding RNA, 2337 nt
Filed under: Homo sapiens (human)
Lineage: Eukaryota; Metazoa; Chordata; Mammalia; Primates; Hominidae
Description: non-protein coding lnc-BPY2C-23:1
Source: RNAcentral